RNAcentral lists this ribosomal RNA (412 nucleotides) under uncultured bacterium. RNAcentral describes it as "bacterial SSU rRNA". It matches the Rfam family "Bacterial small subunit ribosomal RNA", at positions 1076 to 1501 of the family's 1533-position model. The record is from RNAcentral.
UGGGUUAAGUCCCGCAACGAGCGCAACCCCUAUUCUUAGUUGCCAGCACGUCAAGGUGGGGACUCUAAGGAGACUGCCUCCGCAAGGAGUGAGGAAGGCGGGGAUGACGUCAAAUCAUCAUGGCCCUUACGCCCAGGGCGACACACGUGCUACAAUGGCCGGUACAGCGGGUAGCGAAGGAGCGAUCCGGAGCCAAUCCCUAAAAGCCGGUCUCAGUUCAGAUUGGAGUCUGCAACUCGACUCCAUGAAGUUGGAAUCGCUAGUAAUCGCGGAUCAGCCAUGCCGCGGUGAAUACGUUCCCGGGCCUUGUACACACCGCCCGUCAAGCCAUGGGAGCCGAGGGUACCUGAAGUCGGGGAUGACCCGCCUAGGGUAAAAUCGGUGACUGGGGCUAAGUCGUAACAAGGUAACC